Molecule: non-coding RNA, 45 nt
Organism: Picea glauca (white spruce)
Lineage: Eukaryota; Viridiplantae; Streptophyta; Pinopsida; Pinales; Pinaceae
Source: Rfam
GAAACGGUGUCUUUAGACACCACCAAUUUUCUUUGAAAUUUAUUA